Molecule: long non-coding RNA, 1297 nt
Filed under: Androctonus crassicauda
Lineage: Eukaryota; Metazoa; Arthropoda; Arachnida; Scorpiones; Buthidae
Source: RNAcentral
CAUUUUGAAGGUCAUAUGGUUCUGUGCAAUAGGUUAGUGCUCUUCUGUAAAAAUAUCUAAAAGCAACUUUUUUGUAGGAGAUUGGAUCAUAAGACUAGUUAGGAAUUAAGAUUGGCUCAUAGAGUGUAUAGGAAGCUGUGAUAUGACCUUAGUAUUUAAUUAUGUACCAUAAGAACCAUGUAUUAUUUGAAUAAGGCUGAGCCAGCCAAAUUUUUUAUCAUGAUAAAUUUGAAGAUUUUCCAUUUAGAAGAAGGCAUCCUGAAGGUGUGUAAGCUGAACAAAUUGUAUCCUAUGUCUGUAUACAGAUUUAGACUUUCAAUUCAGGACUUUAAACUGGAGAGAGAGAUAAAAAGGAGUGUUUUGCUAGAGGAGUUUCUGCAGUGAAAAGAAAGUUGUAUAUGAUGAAAAGACAGCUAGAGGUGGCAAAAGUGAACUUUGAUGCUUUAGAGAGUAGUAGAAAAAAGAAGCAAUGGCAAAAAUCGACUAUAUUGUCAAGUCAAAGAGGCCAAAAUUCCAGGCAAACUAUAUUAAAAAAAUUGAGAUAGAUUAUUAAAAACCAGCUGAAAGGAUACAAAAAAAAAAAAAAAAGGAAAACAAAAUGAUUGACAAUUGUCUGUUUGUCAUGGAUGAUCUGAUUCUUCCUGACUUUCUGCUGAAGGUGGCUUUUGAAGGCACAAAUUAUAAUUUUCAUAGAAACUAUGACUGGGGUAAAUCAAUAUCCCAAGUUGAAAGAAUUUUGUGUAGUGGUGAAGAGGAAUUGACAGACAGAAAGAAAAUAAUGUGAUUUUUUCUAAAACAGAUAAAAGCAGCAGUUUAGUGUUUGUGAAGAGGGAAACACACCAAAAAUUUUUGAAAGAUUAUAUCAAAGAAACAGAGGAGGAGGAGUUGAAAGGAUAGCUGACUGAUAAGAUUUGUCACUGGGUGGAUAGGUUUCUAAAAUGUAAAGGGCUACUGACGUUCUUAAGGAACUUGAAAUGGCAUCUCCUGCCUGCCCAUGCCUAUUUAUGCUAAAAUUCAUAAGAAGCUGUUAAAAAUUAGACUAAUUGUUGAGAAGUUUAGAUCCUCUCUUUACUUAGUUGAGAAAAACUGGUGAGAUGCUGUAGAUUGAGAUUAACCUACCUAAUUACUAACCUAAUUAGCAUUGGUGUUGGGUUUCAUGCGGACUGUGAGCCCCAGUUUUUAUUUAAAAAUUUUUGCUACUGUAUGUACUCAAAUAUAAGCUGAUCCCCCAACUUCAGAGUUUGAAAAUUGGUAAAAAAUGCGAAACCCAUAUAUAAACCAAUCCCCAAAACUUUAG